CGCAGACGUCUGAUAAACAAGUUAAUAAACUAAAACUUUCAACAACGGAUCUCUUGGUUCUGGCAUCGAUGAAGAACGCAGCGAAAUGCGAUAAGUAAUGUGAAUUGCAGAAUUCAGUGAAUCAUCGAAUCUUUGAACGCACAUUGCGCCCCUUGGUAUUCCGGGGGGCAUGCCUGUUCGAGCGUCA
Molecule: ribosomal RNA, 187 nt
Filed under: Lasiodiplodia euphorbiaceicola
Lineage: Eukaryota; Fungi; Ascomycota; Dothideomycetes; Botryosphaeriales; Botryosphaeriaceae
Description: Lasiodiplodia euphorbicola 5.8S ribosomal RNA
Rfam family: 5.8S ribosomal RNA (bases 34-187)
About the family: 5.8S ribosomal RNA (5.8S rRNA) is a component of the large subunit of the eukaryotic ribosome. It is transcribed by RNA polymerase I as part of the 45S precursor that also contains 18S and 28S rRNA. Functionally, it is thought that 5.8S rRNA may be involved in ribosome translocation.
Source: RNAcentral